Molecule: ribosomal RNA, 212 nt
Filed under: Micromonas pusilla
Lineage: Eukaryota; Viridiplantae; Chlorophyta; Mamiellophyceae; Mamiellales; Mamiellaceae
Description: partial Bacterial large subunit ribosomal RNA
Rfam family: Bacterial large subunit ribosomal RNA
Source: RNAcentral
AAGCAGUGGGAGCCACUUCGUGUGGUGACUGCGUACCUUUUGUAUAAUGGGUCAGCGACUUAUAUUUAGUAGCAAGGUUAAGUGAAUAACGGAGCCGUAGCGAAAGCGAGUGUUAACUGCGCGUUUAGUUGCUAGGUAUAGACCCGAAACCCGGUGAUCUAGCCAUGGGCAGGUUGAAGGUUGAGUAACAUCAACUGGAGGACCGAACCCAC